This 838-nucleotide ribosomal RNA is filed under the name uncultured bacterium. Its description in RNAcentral is "bacterial SSU rRNA". It matches the Rfam family "Bacterial small subunit ribosomal RNA", at positions 55 to 929 of the family's 1533-position model. The record is from RNAcentral.
AUGCAGUUGAACGGGAUUUGUAUGGUGCUUGCACCAUGUAAUGAGAGUAGCGCACUGGUGAGUAACACGUGGGAACAUACCUUGAAGUGGGGGACAACAGUUGGAAACGACUGCUAAUACCGCAUAAUCCCUGAGGGGGAAAGAUCUAUCGCUUUAAGAUUGGCCCGCGGAAGAUUAGGUAGUUGGUGGGGUAAAGGCCUACCAAGCCGACGAUCUAUAGCUGGUCUGAGAGGACGAACAGCCACAUUGGAACUGAGACACGGUCCAGACUCCUACGGGAGGCAGCAGUGAGGAAUAUUGGGCAAUGGAGGAAACUCUGACCCAGCCAUGCCGCGUGAGUGAAGAAGGUUUUCGAAUUGUAAAGCUCUUUCGGAUGGGACGAUGAUGACGGUACCAUCUAAAGAAGCCCCGGCAAACUUCGUGCCAGCAGCCGCGGUAAUACGAAGGGGGCAAGCGUUGUUCGGAAUUACUGGGCGUAAAGGGUGUGUAGGCGGAUUUGUAAGAUAGUGGUGAAAUACCUGAGCUCAACUUAGGAAUUGCCAUUAUAACUAUAGAUCUGGAGUGACAGAGAGGAUAUUGGAAUACCCAGUGUAGAGGUGAAAUUCGUAGAUAUUGGGUAGAACACCAGUGGCGAAGGCGAGUAUCUGGCUGUCAACUGACGCUGAGGCACGAAAGCAUGGGGAUCAAACAGGAUUAGAUACCCUGGUAGUCCAUGCUGUAAACGAUGAAUGCUAGUUGUCGGCAAAAGCCGGUGACGCAGUUAACGCGAUAAGCAUUCCGCCUGGGGAGUACGGUCGCAAGAUUAAAACUCAAAGGAAUUGACGGGGACCCGCACAAG